This 505-nucleotide ribosomal RNA is filed under the name uncultured bacterium. RNAcentral's name for it is "partial 16S ribosomal RNA". It matches the Rfam family "Bacterial small subunit ribosomal RNA", at positions 28 to 507 of the family's 1533-position model. The record is from RNAcentral.
GACGAACGCUGGCGGCGUGCCUAAUACAUGCAAGUAGAACGCACAGUUUAUACCGUAGCUUGCUACACCAUAGACUGUGAGUUGCGAACGGGUGAGUAACGCGUAGGUAACCUGCCUGGUAGCGGGGGAUAACUAUUGGAAACGAUAGCUAAUACCGCAUAAUAUUAAUUAUUGCAUGAUAAUUAAUUGAAAGGUGCAAUUGCACCACUACCAGAUGGACCUGCGUUGUAUUAGCUAGUAGGUGAGGUAACGGCUCACCUAGGCGACGAUACAUAGCCGAACUGCGAGGGUGGUCGGCCGCCCUGGGACUGAGACACGGCCCAGACUCCUACGGGAGGCAGCCGUAGGGCAUCUUCGGCAAUGGACGGAAGUCUGACCGAGCAACGCCGCGUGAGUGAAGAAGAAUUUCGGAUCGUAAAGCUCUGUUGUAAGAGAAGAACGGGUGUGAGAGUGGAAAGUUCACACUGUGACGGUAUCUUACCAGAAAGGGACGGCUAACUACGUG